UCUCGUAGCUGGCGAAAAGUUAGAUAACAAACAGUAAGGUCCCGUUAUUCACAGAUUAAAAGCUUCCAGCUCGGAUGAGACGCUGAGCAACUACAAUGCUAAUCAAAGUGACUGGCUGAAAGCUAACUCAGCAGUGACCUUGAUGACAACAAUCGUUAUGACUGCAAGCAACGGUCUCCAUUUCCUGUGUCAUGUAUGCCAGUAUGUCCUGAAAGUCAAAGUCAGAGUCUUGACAAGCUGGAUCAAAGAAGUCCUUAUGGAUUAUAUAGCGAAUGCACUGAAGAACCACAUUCCUUUCAUGGCGAAUAUCUGGGGCCAGCAACUAUAAGGAAUAAAAUACACUGUUUACAAUAAAUGAAAAAAUCAUUUAUCAUA
Molecule: long non-coding RNA, 375 nt
Organism: Tachysurus fulvidraco (yellow catfish)
Lineage: Eukaryota; Metazoa; Chordata; Actinopteri; Siluriformes; Bagridae
Exons: 3
Source: RefSeq, a predicted model, not a curated record